UGAGGAAUAUUGGUCAAUGGGCGAGAGCCUGAACCAGCCAAGUAGCGUGAAGGAUGAAGGUCCUAUGGAUUGUAAACUUCUUUUAUAGUAGAAUAAAGUGAGCCACGUGUGGUUUUUUGUAUGUAUACUAUGAAUAAGGAUCGGCUAACUCCGUGCCAGCAGCCGCGGUAAUACGGAGGAUCCGAGCGUUAUCCGGAUUUAUUGGGUUUAAAGGGUGCGUAGGCGGAAUGAUAAGUCAGUUGUGAAAGUUUGCGGCUCAACCGUAAAAUUGCAUUUGAUACUGUCAUUCUUGAGUGUACAUAAGGUAGGCGGAAUUCGUGGUGUAGCGGUGAAAUGCUUAGAUAUCACGGAGAACUCCAAUUGCGAAGGCAGCUUACCGGGGUACAACUGACGCUGAGGCACGAAAGUGUGGGUAUCAAACAGG
Molecule: ribosomal RNA, 424 nt
Filed under: uncultured bacterium
Lineage: Bacteria
Description: bacterial SSU rRNA
Rfam family: Bacterial small subunit ribosomal RNA
Source: RNAcentral